AGCUCCAAUAAGGAAAACUAAAGUUGCUGUGUUUAAAAAGCUCGUAGUUGAAUUUCGGGUAUUUGUUGCUGGUUGGUCUCGCGACCUUUUUGGCUAACAGAUCCUCACUUGCUGGACAGUUGGCGAUGAUCUUAAACGGUUGUCGUCAGUUGCCAGAACGUUUACUUUGAGAAAAUUAGAGUGCUAAAAGCAGGCCUUCGCCUAUAUAUAUUGCAUGGAAUAAUGAAAUAAGAUCUCGAUUUUAUUUCGUUGGUUUUAGAAAUUGAGAUAAUGAUUAAUAGGAUCAGAGGGGGGCGUACGUACUGUGGUGUGAGAGGUGAAAUUCUUGGAUCGCCACAGGACGAACAGCAGCGAAGGCGUUCGCCAAGAAUGUUUUCA
RNAcentral lists this ribosomal RNA (378 nucleotides) under uncultured eukaryote. Its description in RNAcentral is "SSU rRNA". It matches the Rfam family "Eukaryotic small subunit ribosomal RNA", at positions 587 to 972 of the family's 1831-position model. The record is from RNAcentral.